UCAUUAAAUCAGCUAUGAUUCAUUGGAUCUGUACCCACACUUACUUGGAUAACUGUGGUAAUUCUAGAGCUAAUACAUGCACCACGUCUCUGACCGCAAGGGAAGAGCGCUUUUAUUAGUUCAAAACCGGUCGGGCCUCGGUCCGUCACCCCAUUGUGUUGAAUCUGAAUAACUUUGAGCUGAGCGCACGGUCUCCGCACCGGCGCCGCCUCUUUCAAGUGUCUGCCUUAUCAGCUUUCGAUUGUAGGUUAUACGCCUACAAUGGCUAUAACGGGUAACGGGGAAUCAGGGUUCGAUUCCGGAGAGGGAGCCUGAGAAACGGCUACCACAUCUAAGGAAGGCAGCAGGCACGCAAAUUACCCACUCCCGGCACGGGGAGGUAGUGACGAAAAAUAACGAUGCGAGACUCAUCCGAGGCCUCGCAAUCGGAAUGAGUACACUUUAAAUCCUUUAACGAGGAUCUAUUGGAGGGCAAGUCUGGUGCCAGCAGCCGCGGUAAUUCCAGCUCCAAUAGCGUAUAUUAAAGUUGUUGCGGUUAAAAAGCUCGUAGUUGGAUUUCAGUUCUGGACUGACGGUUCACCGCCCGGUGCACACUGUCACGCUCCGAACAGUUUUUAACCGCCCGCUGGCUCGCACGGGGUGCUCUUCAUCGAGUGUCCCGCGUGGCCGGCAGAGUUUACUUUGAAAAAAUUAGAGUGCUCAAAGCAGGCUACAUUGACGGCCUGAAUGCCUAUGCAUGGAAUAAUGGAAUAGGACCUCGGUUCUAUUUUGUUGGUUUUCUGAACCCGAGGUAAUGACUAAUAGGAACAGGCGGGGGCAUUCGUAUUGCGACGCUAGAGGUGAAAUUCUUGGACCGUCGCAAGACGAACUACUGCGAAAGCAUUUGCCAAGGAUGUUUUCAUUAAUCAAGAACGAAAGUUAGAGGUUCGAAGGCGAUCAGAUACCGCCCUAGUUCUAACCAUAAACGAUGCUGACCAGCGAUCCGCCGGCGUUAUUCCCAUGACCCGGCGGGCAGCUUCCGGGAAACCAAAGUCUUUGGGUUCCGGGGGAAGUAUGGUUGCAAAGCUGAAACUUAAAGGAAUUGACGGAAGGGCACCACCAGGAGUGGAGCCUGCGGCUUAAUUUGACUCAACACGGGGAACCUCACCAGGCCCAGACACCGGAAGGAUUGACAGAUUGAGAGCUCUUUCUCGAUUCGGUGGGUGGUGGUGCAUGGCCGUUCUUAGUUGGUGGAGCGAUUUGUCUGGUUAAUUCCGAUAACGAACGAGACUCUGGCCUACUAACUAGUCGACGGAUCUCCAGCAAUUGGUGUCCAGUUCGCAGCUUCUUCUUAGAGGGAUAAGCGGCAAUUCUAGCCGCACGAGAUUGAGCAAUAACAGGUCUGUGAUGCCCUUAGAUGUU
RNAcentral lists this ribosomal RNA (1401 nucleotides) under Portunus reticulatus. RNAcentral describes it as "SSU rRNA". It matches the Rfam family "Eukaryotic small subunit ribosomal RNA", at positions 98 to 1481 of the family's 1831-position model. Lineage: Eukaryota; Metazoa; Arthropoda; Malacostraca; Decapoda; Portunidae. The record is from RNAcentral.